RNAcentral lists this ribosomal RNA (742 nucleotides) under Coolia canariensis. RNAcentral describes it as "partial large subunit ribosomal RNA". It matches the Rfam family "Eukaryotic large subunit ribosomal RNA", at positions 136 to 822 of the family's 3401-position model. The record is from RNAcentral. Lineage: Eukaryota; Dinophyceae; Peridiniales; Ostreopsidaceae.
GGCUGACAUGUAAUUCCAAAAUGUACAACCUAUUGGCAUGCAAGUGGAAGCUCAUUGAAAGAAUGCGUCGACGAAGGUGAAAAUCCAGCUUGCUGCUUUCAAUGUUGUUGUUUAUGGUGUAUACUUCAUGAGUCACAUUCCUUGGCAUUGGAAUGCAAUGUGGGUGGUACACUUCAUGCAAAGAUUAAUAUGUGGUUGAGAUUGAUAGUGCACAAAUACCGUGAGGGAAAUAUGAAAAGGACUUUGGAAAGAGAGUUAAAUGAGUUUGCAAUUGCUGAACAAAAACAAAUAGGAUGUCGGUGUUUGCGCAGAAUGUUGUACCUGGUGUUGUUUCAAUUGUGAGCACGUGCAUAUUCAAUGAUUCUUUUCUUGUCUACCAUAUCAUUCUCUGUGCAUCAUGACGUUUGCAGGUGGUGAGGUUUCUUGGGUGACAAUGACAACAUUUGCUUGAGUAUGGUAUGCCAAGUGAUCAUCGUGUUUGAAAUGUGCAUGGUGCUUACGCCAACCUUGUGGGGUGACUGUUUGUGUUGAGCUGUGCUCUGCCUUCUGCCGUUGUCUGUUGGUGAGCAUAUCCUGCUUGACCCGUCUUGAAACACGGACCAAGGAGUCUAAUAGGUGUGCAAGCUUUGAAAACCUUAUCUUGUCGAAACCAAUGAAAUUAAGAGCUGGGAUGUUUGCACCAGCAACCAAUUGAUUGGUGGGCAAAGCCUUGAGUUGGAGCAUGCUUAUUAGGACCCGAAAG